GACGAACGCUGGCGGCGUGCUUAACACAUGCAAGUCGAACGGAAAGGCCCUGCUUUUGUGGGGUGCUCGAGUGGCGAACGGGUGAGUAACACGUGAGUAACCUGCCCUUGACUUUGGGAUAACUUCAGGAAACUGGGGCUAAUACCGGAUAGGAGCUCCUGCUGCAUGGUGGGGGUUGGAAAGUUUCGGCGGUUGGGGAUGGACUCGCGGCUUAUCAGCUUGUUGGUGGGGUAGUGGCUUACCAAGGCUUUGACGGGUAGCCGGCCUGUGAGGGUGACCGGCCACAUUGGGACUGAGAGACGGCCCAGACUCCUACGGGAGGCAGCAGUGGGGAAUAUUGCACAAUGGGCGGAAGCCUGAUGCAGCAACGCCGCGUGCGGGAUGACGGCCUUCGGGUUGUAAACCGCUUUCGCCUGUGACGAAGCGUGAGUGACGGUAAUGGGUAAAGAAGCACCGGCUAACUACGUG
Molecule: ribosomal RNA, 468 nt
Filed under: uncultured bacterium
Lineage: Bacteria
Description: partial 16S ribosomal RNA
Rfam family: Bacterial small subunit ribosomal RNA
Source: RNAcentral